RNAcentral lists this ribosomal RNA (401 nucleotides) under uncultured bacterium. RNAcentral describes it as "partial 16S ribosomal RNA". It matches the Rfam family "Archaeal small subunit ribosomal RNA", at positions 473 to 873 of the family's 1478-position model. The record is from RNAcentral.
ACACCGGCAGCUCUAGUGGUAGCAAUUUUUAUUGGGCCUAAAGCGUCCGUAGCCGGUUUAAUAAGUCUCUGGUGAAAUCCUGCAGCUUAACUGUGGGAAUUGCUGGAGAUACUAUUAGACUUGAGACCGGGAGAGGUUAGAGGUACUCCCAGGGUAGAGGUGAAAUUCUGUAAUCCUGGGAGGACCGCCUGUUGCGAAGGCGUCUAACUGGAACGGUUCUGACGGUGAGGGACGAAAGUUAGGGGCGCGAACCGGAUUAGAUACCCGGGUAGUCCUAACUGUAAACGAUGCGGACUUGGUGUUGGGGUGGCUUUGAGCUGCUCCAGUGCCGAAGGGAAGCUGUUAAGUCCGCCGCCUGGGAAGUACGGUCGCAAGACUGAAACUUAAAGGAAUUGGCGGGG